Molecule: ribosomal RNA, 228 nt
Filed under: uncultured bacterium
Lineage: Bacteria
Description: partial 16S ribosomal RNA
Rfam family: Bacterial small subunit ribosomal RNA
Source: RNAcentral
CGCGUAGGCGGUCAGGCAAGUCGGAUGUGAAAUCCCUCGGCUCAACCGAGGAACUGCAUCCGAAACUGCCCGACUUGAGUCCCGGAGAGGGUAGCGGAAUUCCCAGUGUAGCGGUGAAAUGCGUAGAUACUGGGAGGAACACCAGUGGCGAAGGCGGCUACCUGGACGGUGACUGACGCUGAGGCGCGAAAGCGUGGGGAGCAAACAGGAUUAGAUACCCUGGUAGUC